ACCACUUCUUGGUCUUUUAGCUAAAGUCAGGUGUAGUAUCUGUUCCAAGAUUUCUGGAGCAGGGAGAUGGAACAGAAGCUCGCUUGGACCACUCCAUGUAUUGACUGGGUAUUGCAGUACCUCUAUGAACUGUGCACCAAGA
Molecule: small nuclear RNA, 142 nt
Organism: Chlorocebus sabaeus (green monkey)
Lineage: Eukaryota; Metazoa; Chordata; Mammalia; Primates; Cercopithecidae
Gene: U2
Rfam family: U2 spliceosomal RNA
About the family: U2 is a small nuclear RNA (snRNA) component of the spliceosome (involved in pre-mRNA splicing).
Source: Ensembl